AUCACCUCUAUAUAUUUCAUCAGCCUCCUUCGUGGUAACAUAAUACAUCUAGUGCAAACAGCAAAAAAAAAACUAAAAAGGUACAUUCUUGUUAGAACUAUUUAAAAGCCAAGAAGGUAAAUAAUUAUUCACAAUUUUAAUUUGAUAUAUUAUAAAUAAUUAUUUUUUUGAUUUUUUAUUAAAAUAAUAAAAUUUAAUGCACUAAUGAUAGCAGGAAAAGCCAUCAAAGAGCUAAAUUUGUUGGAGGGAAAAAUGAAGGGAUGGAAUGCAGAAGUCCAAGAGAAGUGAUCCAGUCCCAAAAGCCAAAGCCAUCACCUCCAUCUAUUUCAUCAACCUCCUCAGUGGUAGCAUAAUACAUCUCCUAGAAACUGCAAAAGUAAAAUCCUUUCAAAAUUUUCUUUGAAGUACCUAGCAUCAAGUGCAUUUCAUUUCUUCACCAAGUGUAUUGCAUUUUGUUGCUGUUUAAAUCAAUCGAGACCGAAAGACGAACAUUUAA
RNAcentral lists this long non-coding RNA (496 nucleotides) under Elaeis guineensis (African oil palm). Its description in RNAcentral is "long non-coding RNA (EGUI_LNC030051)". Lineage: Eukaryota; Viridiplantae; Streptophyta; Magnoliopsida; Arecales; Arecaceae. The record is from RNAcentral.